UACGGAGGAUCCGAGCGUUAUCCGGAUUUAUUGGGUUUAAAGGGUGCGCAGGCGGGCUUGUAAGUCAGUGGUGAAAGACUACCGCUUAACGGUAGCAUUGCCAUUGAUACUGCAGGCCUUGAGUACAUUUGAAGUGGGCGGAAUGUGUAGUGUAGCGGUGAAAUGCUUAGAUAUUACACAGAACACCGAUAGCGUAGGCAGCUCACUAAGAUGCAACUGACGCUCAGGCACGAAAGCGUGGGUAUCAAACAGG
Molecule: ribosomal RNA, 253 nt
Filed under: uncultured bacterium
Lineage: Bacteria
Description: partial 16S ribosomal RNA
Rfam family: Bacterial small subunit ribosomal RNA
Source: RNAcentral